Molecule: long non-coding RNA, 671 nt
Filed under: Vulpes vulpes (red fox)
Lineage: Eukaryota; Metazoa; Chordata; Mammalia; Carnivora; Canidae
Description: lncRNA (ENSVVUG00000025167.1)
Source: RNAcentral
GACCUUUUAAAAAGGCUCUACCCGUGUAUACUCCUUUUAGAGUAGCUGAAGGAAGUCAUGGAAGCUAGCGAGCCCUUCAAAUUUUUCCCUGUCUGGUUUAAUCCAUGCGCAUGUUUUGCUCCCUAAAAUAGUGAUCCUGACAAUAAUCCUACAGGCAUGGAGCGAUCUGCUUUUUACAGGGCCCUCGCUCCUGCCUUCUAACGCUGCUGGUUUUGUCCCCAUUUUAUAGAUGAUGAGGAACCGAAGCUCAGAGGAGUUGGGGGUCUCGUCCAGAGCCCCGGAGAGUCAGAACCAGAACUAGAACUCAGGCCCCCAGAAUCCAAAAGCUCUUUCUACUACUCUGUUGCUAGGCAACCCUUCUCCCUUUCGAUUCUUGUGCCAAUGCUACUUGUUGCCAUGGUACUGCUGGGACAAGGAGCAGUACAUUGUAAUUAAGCAGCGAGCUAGAAUCUUGGCUCCUUGCAGAAAGGGGUCUUUAUGCCCCAAGUAUGGGUGGCCGGAGAGGGGCAAUUGGAUGGGACUGGUCAGUUAUCAUGAAUCCAGUUCCCAACUAGAUCUCUUGCUGACACCCUACUCCGCUCUGCAUUUGAGACUCAUCCUUCCAUCCCCAGGGCCUACACAGUGCUUCACAUAAGGAGGCAUUCAAUAAACUUUGUCAAACAAAUGAAGCA